UACGUAGGGUGCGAGCGUUAAUCGGAAUUACUGGGCGUAAAGCGUGCGCAGGCGGUUCGUUGUGUCGGCGGUGAAAGCCCCGGGCUCAACCUGGGAAUGGCAUUGGAAACUGGCGGACUCGAGUGUGGCAGAGGGGGGUGGAAUUCCGCGUGUAGCAGUGAAAUGCGUAGAGAUGCGGAGGAACACCGAUGGCGAAGGCAGCCCCCUGGGCUAACACUGACGCUCAGGCACGAAAGCGUGGGGAGCAAACAGG
Molecule: ribosomal RNA, 253 nt
Filed under: uncultured bacterium
Lineage: Bacteria
Description: partial 16S ribosomal RNA
Rfam family: Bacterial small subunit ribosomal RNA
Source: RNAcentral